This 1028-nucleotide ribosomal RNA is filed under the name Erysiphe neolycopersici. Its description in RNAcentral is "SSU rRNA". It matches the Rfam family "Eukaryotic small subunit ribosomal RNA", at positions 50 to 1091 of the family's 1831-position model. Lineage: Eukaryota; Fungi; Ascomycota; Leotiomycetes; Helotiales; Erysiphaceae. The record is from RNAcentral.
CCUGCUGUCUAGUAUAAGCAAAUUAUACCGUGAAACUGCGAAUGGCUCAUUAAAUCAGUUAUCGUUUAUUUGAUAGUACCUUACUACUUGGAUAACCGUGGUAAUUCUAGAGCUAAUACAUGCUAAAAGCCCCGACUUCGGAAGGGGUGUAUUUAUUAGAUUAAAAACCAAUGCCCUUCGGGGCUCUUUGGUGAUUCAUGAUAACUUAACGAAUCGCAUGGCCUUGUGCCGGCGAUGGUUCAUUCAAAUUUCUGCCCUAUCAACUUUCGAUGGUAGUAUAUGGGACUACCAUGGUUUCAACGGGUAACGGGGAAUUAGGGUUCUAUUCCGGAGAGGGAGCCUGAGAAACGGCUACCACAUCCAAGGAAGGCAGCAGGCGCGCAAAUUACCCAAUCCCGACACGGGGAGGUAGUGACAAUAAAUACUGAUGCAGGGCUCUUUUGGGUCUUGUAAUUGGAAUGAGUACAAUUUAAAUCCCUUAACGAGGAACAAUUGGAGGGCAAGUCUGGUGCCAGCAGCCGCGGUAAUACCAGCUCCAAUAGCGUAUAUUAAAGUUGUUGCAGUUAAAAAGCUCGUAGUUGAACCUUGGGCCUGGCUGGCCGGUCCGCCUCACCGCGUGCACUGGUCCGGCCGGGUCUUUCCUCCUGGGGAGCCGCAUGCCCUUCACUGGGUGUGUCGGGGAACCAGGACUUUUACUUUGAAAAAAUUAGAGUGUUCAAAGCAGGCCUAUGCUCGAAUACAUUAGCAUGGAAUAAUAGAAUAGGACGUGUGGUUCUAUUUUGUUGGUUUCUCGGACCGCCGUAAUGAUUAAUAGGGAUGGUCGGGGGCAUCAGUAUUCAAUUGUCAGAGGUGAAAUUCUUGGAUUUAUUGAAGACUAACUACUGCGAAAGCAUUUGCCAAGGAUGUUUUCAUUAAUCAGGGAACGAAAGUUAGGGGAUCGAAGACGAUCCGAUACCGUCCGAAGCUUAACCUAAACUAUGCCGACUAGGGAUCGGGGGAGGUAUUUUUUUUUGAUCCCUCGGACUUAC